RNAcentral lists this ribosomal RNA (496 nucleotides) under uncultured bacterium. Its description in RNAcentral is "partial 16S ribosomal RNA". It matches the Rfam family "Bacterial small subunit ribosomal RNA", at positions 29 to 507 of the family's 1533-position model. The record is from RNAcentral.
AUGAACGCUGGCGGCGUGCCUAAUACAUGCAAGUCGCGCGAACAGACGAGGAGCUUGCUCCUCUGACGUUAGCGGCGGACGGGAGAGUAACACGUGGAUAACCUACCUAUAAGACUGGGAUAACUUCGGGAAACCGGAGCUAAUACCGGAUAAUAUAUUGAACCGCAUGGUUCAAUAGUGAAAGACGGUUUUGCUGUCACUUAUAGAUGGAUCCGCGCCGCAUUAGCUAGUUGGUAAGGUAACGGCUUACCAAGGCAACGAUGCGUAGCCGACCUGAGAGGAUGAUCGGCCCCACUGGAACUGAGACACGGUCCAGACUCCUACGGGAGGCAGCAGUAGGGAAUCUUCCGCAAUGGGCGAAAGCCUGACGGAGCAACGCCGCGUGAGUGAUGAAGGUCUUCGGAUCGUAAAACUCUGUUAUUAGGGAAGAACAAAUGUGUAAGUAACUAUGCACGUCUUGACGGUACCUAAUCAGAAAGCCACGGCUAACUACGUG